This 1055-nucleotide long non-coding RNA is filed under the name Podarcis lilfordi (Lilford's wall lizard). Lineage: Eukaryota; Metazoa; Chordata; Lepidosauria; Squamata; Lacertidae. The record is from RNAcentral.
CACUACUUUUAAAUUUACUUAUUUCCUGGACCUCCUCAUACCUCCCUCUUUUGUAUUCCAAUUCAGUUUGUUUGUCCAGCAAUUCCUUUCCCUCCUUUUUAAUCCCAAUCCUUAAUCUUAAUAUAAUAUAACAUUAAAUUUUUACCUAUUAAAAGCCAAUUUUCCAUUCUUUUAACCUUUUUAAUCCUAAUCCUUAAUCUUGAUCUAUAUAUAACUUUAAAGCCUGUACAGCUAGAAGCCACUUAAUUUCAAUCCAUCAUCACUCUAACAUUCUUUAAUUUUGCAAUAUUUCUGUAAAUAAUCUUUAAAUUUCUUCCAAUCUUCUUCCACCGACUCUUCUCCCUGGUCACGGAUUCUGCCAGUCAUUUCCGCCAAUUCCAUAUAGUCCAUCAAUUUCAUCUGCCAUUCUUCCAGUGUGGGUAGCUCUUGUGUCUUCCAAUACUUUGCGAUGAGUAUUCUUGCUGCUGUUGUUGCAUACAUAAAGAAAGUUCUAUCCUUUUUUUAACACCGAUUGGCCGACUAUGCCCAGGAGAAGGCCUCUGGUUUCUUCAAGAAGGUAUAUUUAAAUACCUUUUUUAAUUCAUUAUAUAUCAUCUCCCAGAAAGCCUUAAUCUUUGGGCACGUCCACCAAAGGUGAAAAAAUGUACCUUCAGUUUCUUUACAUUUCCAACAUUUAUUAUCAGGCAAAUGGUAGAUUUUUGCAAGCUUGACUGGGGUUAUGUACCACCUGUAUAUCAUUUUCAUAAUAUUUUCUCUUAAGGCAUUACAUGCCGUAAAUUUCAUACCUGUGGUCCACAACUGUUCCCAGUCAGCAAACAUAAUGUUAUGUCCAACAUCUUGUGCCCAUUUAAUCAUAGCAGAUUUCACCGUUUCAUCCUGAGUGUUCCAUUUCAGCAGCAAGUUAUACAUUCUUGACAAAUUCUUAGUUUUGGGUUCUAACAGUUCUGUUUCUAAUUUUGAUUUUUCCACCUGGAAGCCAAUUUUCUUGUCCAAAUUGUAUGCCUCCAUUAUCUGAUAAUAAUGAAGCCAGUCUCGCACUUUGUUUUUUAAUUUUU